Molecule: ribosomal RNA, 459 nt
Filed under: uncultured bacterium
Lineage: Bacteria
Description: partial 16S ribosomal RNA
Rfam family: Bacterial small subunit ribosomal RNA
Source: RNAcentral
CCUACGGGUGGCAGCAGUGAGGAAUAUUGGUCAAUGGUCGGGAGACUGAACCAGCCAAGCCGCGUGAGGGAUGAAGGUACAGAGUAUUGUAAACCUCUUUUGUCAGGGAACAAAGGCGGGGACGUGUCCCCGGAUGAGUGUACCUGAAGAAAAAGCAUCGGCUAACUCGGUGCCAGCAGCCGCGGUAAUACGGAGGAUGCGAGCUUUAUCCGGAUUUAUUGGUUUAAAGGGGUGCUCAGGUGGGCGGUUAAGUCAGCGGUAAAAGCCCGGGGCUAAAGCCCGGCCAGCCGUUGAUACUGGCAGUCUCGAGUUGGAGUGAAGUAUGCGGAAUGCGCGGUGUAGCGGUGAAAUGCAUAGAUAUCGCGCAGAACUCCGAUUGCGAAGGCAGCAUGCCGGCUCCACACUGACGCUGAGGCACGAAAGCGUGGGUAUCGAACAGGAUUAGAUACCCGGGUAGUC